Molecule: ribosomal RNA, 459 nt
Filed under: uncultured bacterium
Lineage: Bacteria
Description: partial 16S ribosomal RNA
Rfam family: Bacterial small subunit ribosomal RNA
Source: RNAcentral
CCUACGGGAGGCAGCAGUGAGGAAUAUUGGUCAAUGGCCGGAAGGCUGAACCAGCCAAGUCGCGUGAGGGACGACUGCCCUAUGGGUUGUAAACCUCUUUUAUAAGGGAAGAAUAAAUGCUACGUGUAGCAUGAUGCCUGUACCUUAUGAAUAAGCAUCGGCUAACUCCGUGCCAGCAGCCGCGGUAAUACGGAGGAUGCGAGCGUUAUCCGGAUUUAUUGGGUUUAAAGGGUGCGUAGGCGGUCCGUUAAGUCAGCGGUAAAAUUGCGGGGCUCAACCCCGUCGAGCCGUUGAAACUGGCAGACUUGAGUUGGCGAGAAGUACGCGGAAUGCGCGGUGUAGCGGUGAAAUGCAUAGAUAUCGCGCAGAACUCCGAUUGCGAAGGCAGCGUACCGGCGCCAGACUGACGCUGAGGCACGAAAGCGUGGGGAUCGAACAGGAUUAGAUACCCGAGUAGUC